This is a non-coding RNA of Phrynosoma platyrhinos (Desert horned lizard), 73 nucleotides long. The record is from the annotation of a GenBank genome assembly. Lineage: Eukaryota; Metazoa; Chordata; Lepidosauria; Squamata; Phrynosomatidae.
GUUCAGUGUGGCAUAGUGGGUUGAGUGCAGGACUGUAGCUCUGGAGAUCAGGGUUCAAUACCCUGUUUGGCCA